This is a long non-coding RNA of Salvelinus sp. IW2-2015, 182 nucleotides long. RefSeq lists it as uncharacterized. The transcript has 2 exons. NCBI's taxonomy places the organism in Eukaryota, Metazoa, Chordata, Actinopteri, Salmoniformes, Salmonidae. The record is from RefSeq and is a predicted model, not a curated record.
AAGAGUACUACAAUACGAGUCUUGGGUCCAGUUUCCCUAUUAUACAGGUCUUUAUAUGCAACAAACAGCCAUCUUGGGUCUACUCACCGCCGGGUCAUGCAGCAGGAUGGCUUGACGUCUGGCCGUCUUGGCGUAGGGGUUCAGCUUCAUCAUUAUUCUCAGGUUCUUCAGAGGGUUCUUCU